UCAAAUUUUUACCCUAACAACUUUGAUGGUAGGAUAGUGGCCUACUAUGGUGGUGAUGGGUGAUAGAGAAUUAGGGUUCAAUUUCUAAGAGGGAGCUUAAGAAACAGCUACCACAUCCAAGGAAGGCAAUAGGAGCAUAAAUUACCCAAUCCUGACAUGAGGAGCUAGUGACAAUAAAUAACAAUACCAUGUUCUAUGAGUCUGGUAAUUGGAAUGAGUACAAUCUAAAUCCCUUAACAAAGAUCCAUUUGAGGGUUAUAUGCUCUAAUGAUUCAUGAUAGCUCGACGGAUUGCAUGGCCUUUGUGCCAGUGAUGCAUCAUUCAAAUUUCAACCAUAUCAACUUUCAAUGGUAGCGAUUUUGGAAAAUGAGUGUUAUGGUCAGUCCCUGGUGUGCCUCGGUCCUGUCAUGACUAACUUUGAGCUAAAAAGUGAUCGAGGCCUUAUUAAAGGGAUGGUGCUCCUGGAGUUGUGUGCGGGCAUUUUAAGCAAAAGAAUAUGUUGCUGAUAUUAUGCAUGGGCAAUGUGAGCCCUAGGCCUCAAGAUGCAUGGGCAAGUGCAAGCUGAUGUGCAAAUCAUUCAUUUAACUUAGGUAUAUGGGUGAAAGACUGAUCAAAUUAUCUAGUUGUUGGUUCCUUCCAAAGUUUCCCUUAGGAUAGCUGGAACCCUCAGCGAGUUCUAUCGAGUAAAGCCAAUUAUUAGAGGCAUUAGGGGUACAAUGCCCUUAACCUAUUCUCAAACUUUAAAUAGAUAGGACAGCAUGACUGCUUCAUUGAGCCAUGCCCCAAAAUCAAGAGCUCCAAGUGGGCCAUUUUUAGUAAGCAAAGCUGGUGAUGUGGGAUGAAGCGAAAGCCAAGUUAUAGUGCCUAAUUACAUACUAACCUAGAACCCACAAAGGGUGUUGGUCGAUUAAGAUAGUAGGAUGAUGGUCAUGAAAGUUAAAAUCUGCUAAAGAGUGUGUAACAACUCAUCUACUGAAUCAACUAACCCUAAAAAUGGAUGGUGCUUAAGCCUAUGACAUAUACUCGACCAUCAGAGCAAGGGCCAAGCCUCAAUAAGUAUGAAGGCAUGGUAGUUGUCACAAAACCUAAGGUGUGAGCCUAGGCGAUUAGUCAUUGGUGCAAAUCUUAUAGUAGUAGCAAAUAUUCAAAUAAGAACUUUGAAGGCCGAAAAAGGAAAAGGUUCCAUGUGAAUGGCACUUGCGCAUGGGUUAGUCGAUCCUAAGAAAUGGGGGAAACUCAUCUAAUAGCAUAUUUGAUGCGAGCUUUGAAAGGAAAUCAAGUUAAAAUUUUUAAACUGAGAUGUGAUGGCUAAUGGCAACAUUAGGGAGUUUGAAGACAUCGACAAAGGCUUUAGGAAGAGUUAUCUUUUUUGUUUAAUAGCCUACCGAACCUAGAAAUAGCUUAAUUAGAGGUAAGGUCUAGUAGCGAAAAGAGCAUCGCCCAUCGCAUGGUGUCUAGUGCACCCCCGGCAACCUUUGAAAAUCCAAAGGAUCGAGUGUCAUCCAUGCCUGAUCAUACUCAUAACUGAGUGCCAAGGUGAACAACCUCUGGUUAAAGGAACAAUAUAGGCAAGGGAAGUCAACCAAAUGGAUUUAUAAUCUCGGGAAAAAGAUUGGCACUAAAUUCAAGGCAUGAGGGUCCUUGUCCCAAACCCAUCAGCUGUUGAUGCAUGCUCAAGCUACUCUCAUGAUGAGAGCUGGUUGUCAUGUGUCGACCGAGGGACAGCCUGGGAAUGGCUCCUUUGGGGGCCUUCCCCGGCCAAUAAACAAUCAACUUAAAAUUGGUAUGAAUAAGGGGAAUAUGAGUUUUUAAUUUAAACAAAGCAUUGUGAUGGUCCCUGCAAAUGCUCAUGCAAUGUGAUUUUUGCCCAGUACUUUGGAUGUUAAAGUAAAGAAAUUCAAUCAAGUGCAGGUAAAUGGUUGAAAUAACUAUGACUCUUUUAAGGUAGCCAAAUGGCUCAUCAUCUAAUUAGUGACGUGUAUGAUUAGAUUAAUGAGAUUCUCGCUAUCCCUAUCUACUACCUAGCAAAACCAUAGCCAAAAGAAUAGGCUUGGCAGAAUAAUAGGGAAAGAAAACCCUGUUGAGAUUGACUCUAGUCCAACUUUGUGAAAGGACUUGAGAGGUGUAGGAUAAGUGGGAGCUCUCGAGCAAAAUUGAAAUGCCACUACGUUUAACUUUAUUUUACUUAUUCAUGAAUCAGAUGUGGGGCAUAACCUUUUCUUUUGGACAUAAGGCCAGCUUCAGUCAAUCGAUCUAAGUGGAAGACAUUGUCAAGUAGAGAGUUUGGCUAGGGUAGCACAUCUAUUAAAAGAUAAUAUAGGUGUCUGAAGAUAAGCUCAACGAGAACAGAAAUCCCAUGUGGAAUAAAUAGGUAAAAGCUUAUUUGAUUUUGAUUUUCAAUACUAAUACGAACCAUGAAAACAUGGCCUAUUGAUCCUUUAGACCUUUAAAAUUUAAAGCUAGAGAUGUCAAACAAGUUACCACAGGGAUAACUGGCUUGUGGCAACCAAGUGUUCAUAGCGUCAUCAUUUUUUUAUCCUUCGAUGUCAGCUCUUCCUAUCAUUAUGAAGCAGAAUUCACCAAGUGUUGGAUUAUUCACCCACCAAUAGGGAAUGUGAGCUAGGUUUAGAUCAUUGUGAGACUUGUUGGUUUUAUCCUACUGAUCACAACAUUGCAAUAGUAAUUCAACAUAGUAUGAGAAUAAUCAUUGAUUUGCAUAAUUGGUUAUCACCCUUGGUUGAAAAGCUAGUGGCAUAAAGUUAUCGUGUGCUAGAUUAUGAUCGAAUGCCUCUAAGUCAAAAUCUAGGCUAGAAGCGAUGCACGUGCCAGUCGCCCAAUUGUUGACUAGUAGUAGGGGCCCAAAGCCCCCAAAAGCAUGUCUCAUAGACGUAGCCCCCAUGGUGGACAAGCUGCGCGGGUCGCUAUGGAGCUCAAUUACCAUU
RNAcentral lists this ribosomal RNA (2942 nucleotides) under Durio zibethinus. Its description in RNAcentral is "eukaryotic LSU rRNA". It matches the Rfam family "Eukaryotic large subunit ribosomal RNA", at positions 388 to 3283 of the family's 3401-position model. Lineage: Eukaryota; Viridiplantae; Streptophyta; Magnoliopsida; Malvales; Malvaceae. The record is from RNAcentral.